AGAGAGAGACAUGCGCGCAUAUCAAUAAGCGGAGGAAAAGAAACUAACAAGGAUUCCCUUAGUAACGGCGAGUGAAGCGGGAAGAGCUCAAAUUUGAAAUCUUCAAGGUUUUACCUUGACGAAUUGUAGUUUAAAGAAGUGUUUUCUGCUGAAGUUUUGGUAAAAGUUCUUUGGAAUAGGACAUCAUAGAGGGUGAGAAUCCCGUAUUUGACCAUUAUUUUCAGCUUUGUGAUACACUUUCAAAGAGUCGGAUUGUUUGGGAAUGCAGUCCAAAAUGGGUGGUAAAUUUCAUCUAAAGCUAAAUAUUGGCGAGAGACCGAUAGCGAACAAGUACCGUGAGGGAAAGAUGGAAAGAACUUUGAAAAGAGAGUUAAACAGUACGUGAAAUUGUCAAAAGGGAAGCGUUUGACACCAGUGUUGUUUUCUCGAAAAUCAAUUAAAAAAUGGCUAGAUUUUGUAUUGUAUUGACUUUGUCAGCUUUCUGCACUCUUUUCUUGUCUUUUUUAAUGCACUUUUCGUUUAACAAGUCAACAUCAAUUUCUUUUGUUGUAAAAGGGUCAUUGGAAGGUGGCUUUCUUUUCGGAGAAAGUGUUUAUAGCCUUUGGCCUCUGCAAUCGGAGAGAUUGAGGUCUGCAGCGUAGAUCCUUCGGGGUUAGAUACAUUUGUGCUAAGUUAUAGCCUUUCAUAGACAACUCGUUGACUAUGAUCAGUCAUGUAGCUUACUCGCUUAUGCUAUUUUACCUACGCUUAGGAUGUUGAGUCGUAGAGCACGCAG
This 775-nucleotide ribosomal RNA is filed under the name uncultured Neocallimastigales. Its description in RNAcentral is "partial large subunit ribosomal RNA". It matches the Rfam family "Eukaryotic large subunit ribosomal RNA", at positions 23 to 632 of the family's 3401-position model. The record is from RNAcentral. Lineage: Eukaryota; Fungi; Neocallimastigomycota; Neocallimastigomycetes; Neocallimastigales.